AAGUCGUAACAAGGUUUCCGUAGGUGAACCUGCGGAAGGAUCAUUAACACGUAUCCAACGUUAAACCCCCUGUGAACCUUCAUUGUACGAGUUACAUCCACGUCAUAAACCGGCAAUCUCUGGUAAAUCAUCGCCGAACAGUUUUGAUUCAGAGACCUCUGGGAAGGGUGUACGGUAGUGCGAGGCAAUUGACCUGGCAUUCCUCUGCUUGUUAGUGUCUGAAAGUGUCACUAGAAUCGUUGCGAGAACCAAGAUAUCCAUUGUUAACAGUUGUUCAAGUAUUAGGUCUCAGCGCAUUUCAUGCAAAGGUUGUGAUCAGGGGGGCCGUAGCCCAGUGACCUGGUCGCCGGCCGUGUCGGCCUCCAGCGAUCGUUACUGCGCCAUCC
This 386-nucleotide unclassified non-coding RNA is filed under the name fungal sp. Its description in RNAcentral is "partial internal transcribed spacer region". The stretch from base 1 to 46 matches the Rfam family "Eukaryotic small subunit ribosomal RNA", at positions 1786 to 1831 of the family's 1831-position model. The record is from RNAcentral. Lineage: Eukaryota; Fungi.